UACAGAGGGGGCAAGCGUUGUUCGGAAUUAUUGGGCGUAAAGAGCUCGUAGGCGGUCUGUCGCGUCUGCUGUGAAAACUCAGGGCUUAACCCUGAGCUUGCAGUGGGUACGGGCAGACUAGAGUGCGGUAGGGGAGACUGGAAUUCCUGGUGUAGCGGUGAAAUGCGCAGAUAUCAGGAGGAACACCGGUGGCGAAGGCGGGUCUCUGGGCCGUAACUGACGCUGAGGAGCGAAAGCAUGGGGAGCGAACAGG
RNAcentral lists this ribosomal RNA (253 nucleotides) under uncultured bacterium. RNAcentral describes it as "partial 16S ribosomal RNA". It matches the Rfam family "Bacterial small subunit ribosomal RNA", at positions 524 to 776 of the family's 1533-position model. The record is from RNAcentral.